CCUACGGGUGGCAGCAGUGAGGAAUAGUGGGCAAUGGGCGCGAGCCUGAACCAGCCAAGUCGCGGGAGGGAAGACGGUCCUAUGGAUUGUAAACCUCUUUUGUCGGGGAGCAAAAGACGCCACGCGUGGCGUUCCGAGAGUACCCUAAGAAAAAGCAUCGGCUAACUCCGUGCCAGCAGCCGCGGUAAUACGGAGGAAGCGAGCGGUAUCCGGAUUUAUUGGGUUGAAAGGGUGCGUAGGCGGGAUGCCAAGGCGGCGGUAAAAGUGCGGUGCGCAACGCCGGCGAGCCUUUGAAACUGGCGUUCUUGAGUGGGCGAGAAGUAUGCGGAAUGCGUGGUGUAGCGGUGAAAUGCAUAGAUAUCACGCAGAACUCCGAUUGCGAAGGCAGCAUACCGGAGCGCAACUGACGCUGAGGCACGAAAGCGUGGGUAUCGAACAGGAUUAGAUACCCGAGUAGUC
RNAcentral lists this ribosomal RNA (459 nucleotides) under uncultured bacterium. RNAcentral's name for it is "partial 16S ribosomal RNA". It matches the Rfam family "Bacterial small subunit ribosomal RNA", at positions 338 to 795 of the family's 1533-position model. The record is from RNAcentral.